GCAUUGGUAGUUCAGGGGCAGAAUUCUCACCUGCCACACGGGAGGCACAGGUUCAAUUCCUGGCCAAUGCA
This is a transfer RNA of Loxodonta africana (African savanna elephant), 71 nucleotides long. It matches the Rfam family "tRNA". Rfam says of the family: Transfer RNA (tRNA) molecules are approximately 80 nucleotides in length. Their secondary structure includes four short double-helical elements and three loops (D, anti-codon, and T loops). The record is from Rfam. NCBI's taxonomy places the organism in Eukaryota, Metazoa, Chordata, Mammalia, Proboscidea, Elephantidae.